Molecule: ribosomal RNA, 547 nt
Filed under: Zorotypus novobritannicus
Lineage: Eukaryota; Metazoa; Arthropoda; Insecta; Zoraptera; Zorotypidae
Description: bacterial SSU rRNA
Rfam family: Eukaryotic small subunit ribosomal RNA
Source: RNAcentral
AAAGAUUAAGCCAUGCAAGUGUCAGUACAAGCUGAAUUAAAGUGAAACCGCGAAUGGCUCAGUAAAUCAGUUACGGUUCAUUUGAUGAAUUUGUAAAAAGACUUGGAUAACUGUGGCAAUUCCAGAGCUAAUACAUGCAUUAAAGUCCCGACCUUGCGGAAGGGACGCUUUUAUUAGAAUACAAAACCAAUCAGAGGAUAGGCAGCAAUGUCUUUCCGAAAACUCCCAGUGACGAAUCUGAGUAACAUGGAACAGAUCGCAUGGCCCAAGAGCAAGGCGACGCAUCAUUCAAACGCCUGCUCUAUCAACUUUGAUGGCCGAUUAUACGCCUACCAUGGUGUUGACGGGUGACGGGGAAUCAGGGUUCGAUUCCGGAGAGGGAGCCUGAGAAACUGCUACCACAUCCAAGGAAGGCAGCAGGCGCGCAAAUUACCCACUCCCGGCACGGGGAGGUAGUGACGAAGUAUAACGAUACGGGACUCCCAUCCGAGGCCCCGUGAUCGGAAUGAGACCGGUUCAGAGAACUGGUGUGAGUAUCCAUUGGAGG